RNAcentral lists this long non-coding RNA (231 nucleotides) under Sorghum bicolor (sorghum). RNAcentral's name for it is "long non-coding RNA (SBIC_LNC014981)". Lineage: Eukaryota; Viridiplantae; Streptophyta; Magnoliopsida; Poales; Poaceae. The record is from RNAcentral.
CCACAUAUGCUAAUCAUAGAUUAAUUAUACUUAAUAAAUUUGUCUUGCAGUUUCCUGACGAGCUAUGUAAUUUGUUUUUUUAUUAGUUUCUAAAAAUCCCUCCCGACAUCCUUCCGACACAUCCGAUGUGACACGCAAAAAAUUUUCGUUCCCAAUCUAAACAGGCCCUUAGGCCUCCACUCUGGUGCUUCCUGUACAGUAGAGAACAACAUCUCACCUAGUCACCUGUCG